AUGGUCAUGGAAACCAAGCGGAGGAAAGCCGUCUUCGUCUUCCCGCGGUGCCUUGGCCUUCGCCGCGCACGGCCCCGCCACGGCAGGAAGGAGAAGGAGCGUCCCGCUUCUCGGCCAGCAGAUUGGAGGGACUGGGCGGCGCUGCCCGGCACCGCCCUGCGCGCGAUCCUCGGGCGGCUUCAUCAGACCGACGUCCUCCGCGGGACGGGGCCAGGGCUGGCGUGCGCGUCGUGGCGGCGCGCGGCCGUCGAGGACCCGCUGCUGUGGCGGCGCAUCGACCUCGCCUCCGACGAGGACGGGGACAAGGACGCUCCGGCGGGGUGGCAGGCGAUGGCGCGCGCCGCCGUGGACCGCAGCGCCGGCUGGUGCGAGUCCUUCCGCGGCCGCGUCGACGGCGACCUCCUCGUCUACCUCGCCGACAACACGCCGCUGCUGAGGAGCCUCCACGUGACGAGCAUGCUUGACAUGCACGGCUGCCAGCUUGGCACGACGGCGAUGGAGAAGCUGCCCCUUCUGGAGCAGCUCGUGGUGGCGGGGGGAUACUUCGACCACGCUAUGCUGUGCGCCGUCCUCGACCACUGCCCGCGUCUCCGGCUGCUCGACGCCGGCGGCUGA
RNAcentral lists this ribosomal RNA (615 nucleotides) under Triticum aestivum (bread wheat). Its description in RNAcentral is "partial small subunit ribosomal RNA". Lineage: Eukaryota; Viridiplantae; Streptophyta; Magnoliopsida; Poales; Poaceae. The record is from RNAcentral.